AAGGUUAAUCCAUCAGGGUUAGUCGGAGCCUAAGGUGAGGCCGAGAGGCGUAGCUGAUGGACACACGGUUAAUAUUCCGUGACCUCCUAAGGAGAUAUCGAUGCGGGGACGCAGCGCGAAAGCCCUUCUGCGCAAUGGUUUCAAAGAAGGGGCAAGCGAGGACCGGAUAGGCAAAUCCGCCGGUUCGUCUGCCAGGAAAAGCCGCUAAGAGCCAAAGGAGUCCGUACCACAAACCGACACAGGUAGACGUGAUGAGUAUUCUCAGGCGCUCGGGUGAUUAGUUGUUAAGGAACUAGGCAAAUUAACCCCGUAACUUCGGGAGAAGGG
Molecule: ribosomal RNA, 327 nt
Filed under: Astrosyne radiata
Lineage: Eukaryota; Bacillariophyta; Fragilariophyceae; Cyclophorales; Cyclophoraceae
Description: partial Bacterial large subunit ribosomal RNA
Rfam family: Bacterial large subunit ribosomal RNA
Source: RNAcentral